Molecule: unclassified non-coding RNA, 1252 nt
Filed under: Leishmania donovani
Lineage: Eukaryota; Euglenozoa; Kinetoplastea; Trypanosomatida; Trypanosomatidae
Description: gene:LdHU3.27.3380(CDS-product:MORN_repeat_putati ve)
Source: RNAcentral
GCACAGUAACACAGUGGGACUCGAGAUUCCUCCGCGGAGGUGCUGCUGCUGCUGUUUUACAAACACAGCUUUGAAAUCAAACGCUUGUCCAUGCGCUCGUACCCUUAUUAUCUCUUCCCUCGCGAAAAGACGAGAGUGAGCGCUGCGAAUGCCACCCAAAAGAAAAGAGGACCAAGGCGAGGUGCUAACAGACACGUUUCGCUACCCAGACGGGAGUUUUUAUGAGGGCAAGUACGGAAUCAAGCACGACGCUAAUGCGGAGGCGGUAUCUGCGGUGUCUGCGACCUCAUCCCUUUCCACCGCAGCGAAGAAGCACGGUCCCGCCGGUGGCGCUGCUGCUGCGGCAACGGUUGCAUCUUCGUCUGCGCCCGCGACGCUGAAUGCGUACAUGCACGGCUAUGGCAUCCUCGCCGAUUCGUCCUCUGCCCGCUACGAAGGGGAGUGGCGCAAUGGCCUGAUGGAGGGAAUGGGGGUUCUAUCGCUUCCCAGCGGUGGUCGUUACACGGGGGAGUUUGCACGCAACGAAUUUCACGGGACGGGGCGCUACAUGUGGGCGGAUGGCUCGUAUUAUGAAGGGGAGUGGUGCCGAAACCAAAUGCACGGACUCGGCGUCUAUGUGGACUGCACGGGUAAGCGAUGGCACGGCACCUUCACCAACGGUAACGCGGCGCAACUUGUUGCAAAAGUGGAGCUGUGAAGGCUGCAGUUCCGUUAACGCUCAUCCCGUAUCACAUCCCCUCCUUCCCCCCUGAUCCGCCACGGUAGAGCUGUUUCUUUCCGAUGACGCGAUGUACAUAGAAGCAGAGGCGGCCUUCUUUCUCCCCCUUGUACAAGUGACACUGAGGCGCGUUCUCCUCGCGUUCCCCACCCGCUUCUUUCAUUGAAAACAGGAAGAAGGGACGCGCGAGACCCUUCUCGAGCUUCCACUGAGUGUCAAGAGCAGCAUUAUGAGGAGGAGGGAAAGGCGAAGGCAGCGAGCGAGACUCAAGUGCAGACGCGAACAUCUAUCAUCUUGGAGUCGCACACACCGUCCACUGCAUUAGCUGCGGUUCAUUUCAGUUGCCGCUUGAAGGAAGCAUGCAAACAACAACGCGAACACCGGAUGAGCCCAGGCUUGGGGGGGGGGACAGAGGAUGCAUGUAUGUCGGCGUUUUUCAUUCUUGUAUCUGUUUCGGUCUAUGUCUCUCAGCUCAUCUCCCUUUCCUUUCAUUCCGCUCUCUUCUCCUCUCUUGUUCCGUUCUCCCCUUGACAG